GAUGAACGCUAGCGGCAGGCUUAAUACAUGCAAGUCGAGGGGCAUCAAGGUACACGAAAGUGUAUUGUUGGCGACCGGCGGACGGGUGAGUAAUAGGUAGGUAACCUACCUCAUACUGAGGCAUAGCUGGGAGAAAUUCCAGGUAAUUCCUCAUGAGGUUAUAUGACACAUGUGAUAUAAUCAAAGGUAUCGCAAGGUACUGGUAUGAGAUGGGCUUACUGACCAUUAGCUAGUUGGUGAGAUAAGAGCUCACCAAGGCGAAGAUGGUUAGGGGUUUUGAGAGAGAGAUCCCCCACAUUGGAACUGAGAUACGGUCCAGACUCCUACGGGAGGCAGCAGUAGGGAAUAUUGGGCAAUGGGCGGAAGCCUGACCCAGCCAUGCCGCGUGAAGGAGACGGCCUUAUGGGUUGUAAACUUCUUUACUAUGCGACUAACUAGAUUUACGAGAUAAUUCUAUAGAAUGUAGCAUAGCAAAAAGCACCGGA
This 485-nucleotide ribosomal RNA is filed under the name uncultured bacterium. RNAcentral's name for it is "bacterial SSU rRNA". It matches the Rfam family "Bacterial small subunit ribosomal RNA", at positions 28 to 497 of the family's 1533-position model. The record is from RNAcentral.